This 1013-nucleotide long non-coding RNA is filed under the name Carica papaya (papaya). Its description in RNAcentral is "long non-coding RNA (CPAP_LNC007950)". Lineage: Eukaryota; Viridiplantae; Streptophyta; Magnoliopsida; Brassicales; Caricaceae. The record is from RNAcentral.
UUUUUCUUUCUUCACCGCAGCUCGCUUCUUCUCUUCUCAUCUGCUUGUGCUUCUUUCGCUUCCGUAUUCUGCUUCUGCUUGUUGGGAGAGUCUCCACGGAUGUUAACUUGCUUCACCAAACACAGCAUCAAUCAAGGUAUGUGUUUAAUAAUGUAUGAUUGUUGACUUUGCUUUUGUGGUGACUUGGAAAAAAAGAAGAUCAAUUACAGGCAAUAUAUAUGUUUAGUUUACUCAUUUAAGUGGAAUUCAGAGCUUCAUUCCAUGACAAACCAUCUAUGAAUCGGAUGGUUAUACCUCUCUGCUUUCUUUACAAGGGCUAGGGUUCGGGUCACGUGGCUCCAGUUUAGGUUUCUUUGGUAAUGUGCCGAGCUGUGUGCUCCUUCUGAUGGUGUUGAAGGAAAAAAAUCUUUUGUGGGAUGACAACUCUUAACUGGAAUGUGAAUACAUACGUCAUUACAAAUUUUAACCUGUAUGGGCACAAGGACAACACAUGGGAUCUUCACAAAUUCUUCAUCCGAUAUUCAAACAUUCUCCUACUUUAGGAUUUGUAUGGAGUUUCCCUUCUUGUUGCUAAUGCAUUUCUCUGGAGUUCUCCAGAUAUUUACGAUCAAUGUCGUUGUGCUCUGCCAUAUUUCUCUUCAGUUGUCUGUUAUUGAUGUGAAAAUAGCUGUAAGGAUGCAUAUAUAGUUUGCAAAAAAGAUCCAGAUGUUGUCUGAUGGAUCAAUGAUGGUUGUUGGGUUUCUUUUGAACUUACUCUGCCCCAAAUCUAGUCAUUUUCAAGUUUCUGUUCCAGAUUAUUUUUUUCUUCUUACCAAGUAACUGUCAGUAAAUGUUCUUUUAUUCCUUCUAAGGUUGCAUUUGGUUGCUUUUGGGUUACUUUCCAAAAAGAAUUGACUAAGAAAUGAAUAGGAAAUAAACCAAACACAACGUAAUAUUACUUGGAGAACAACUUUACAAAUCUAUAUAUAUAGUUGCCUUACAUAGUUAGCUACAACAGACAUAGAACAGAUGGG